UUGGAAACGGCAACUAAUACCGUAUACGCCCUACGGGGGAAAAAUUUAUUGCUAUUAGAUGAGCCUAUAUUAGAUUAGCUAGUUGGUGGAGUAAUAGCCUACCAAGGCAAUGAUCUAUAGCUGAUCUGAGAGGAUGAUCAGCCACACUGGAACUGAGAUACGGUCCAGACUCCUACGGGAGGCAGCAGUGGGGAAUAUUGGACAAUGGGCGAAAGCCUGAUCCAGCCAUGCCGCAUGAGUGAAGAAGGCCUUUGGGUUGUAAAGCUCUUUUAGUGAGGAAGAUAAUGACGGUACUCACAGAAGAAGUCCUGGCUAACUCCGUGCCAGCAGCCGCGGUAAUACGGAGAGGGCUAGCGUUAUUCGGAAUUAUUGGGCGUAAAGGGNNNNNNNNNNNNNNNNNNNNNNAAAAGUGAAAUCCCAAGGCUCAACCUUGGAAUUGCUUUUAAAAAUGAUAAUCUAGAGAUUGAAAGAGGAUAGAGGAAUUCCUAGUGUAGAGGUGAAAUUCGUAAAUAUUAGGAGGAACACCAGUGGCGAAGGCGUCUAUCUGGUUCAAAUCUGACGCUGAGGCGCGAAGGCGUGGGGAGCAAACAGGAUUAGAUACCCUGGUAGUCCACGCUGUAAACGAUGAAUGUUAAAUAUGGGAAGUUUUACUUUCUGUAUUACAGCUAACGCGUUAAACAUUCCGCCUGGGGACUACGGUCGCAAGAUUAAAA
This 713-nucleotide ribosomal RNA is filed under the name Wolbachia endosymbiont of Icosta sp. 3 ES-2018. Its description in RNAcentral is "partial 16S ribosomal RNA". It matches the Rfam family "Bacterial small subunit ribosomal RNA", at positions 150 to 899 of the family's 1533-position model. The record is from RNAcentral. Lineage: Bacteria; Pseudomonadati; Pseudomonadota; Alphaproteobacteria; Rickettsiales; Anaplasmataceae.